AGCGAACGCUGGCGGCAGGCCUAACACAUGCAAGUCGAACGAACCUUUCGGGGUUAGUGGCGGACGGGUGAGUAGCACGUGGGAACGUGCCUUUAGGUUCGGAAUAACUCAGGGAAACUUGUGCUAAUACCGAAUGUGCCCUUCGGGGGAAAGAUUAAUCGCCUUUAGAGCGGCCCGCGUCUGAUUAGCUAGUUGGUUGAGGUAAUGGCUCACCAAGGCGACGAUCAGUAGCUGGUCUGAGAGGAUGAUCAGCCACAUUGGGACUGAGACACGGCCCAAACUCCUACGGGAAGCAGCAGUGGGGAAUCUUGCGCAAUGGGCGAAAGCCUGACGCAGCCAUGCCGCGUGAAUGAUGAAGGUCUUAGGAUUGUAAAAUUCUUUCACCGGGGACGAUAAUGACGGUACCCGGAGAAGAAGCCCCGGCUAACUUCGUG
RNAcentral lists this ribosomal RNA (434 nucleotides) under uncultured bacterium. RNAcentral's name for it is "partial 16S ribosomal RNA". It matches the Rfam family "Bacterial small subunit ribosomal RNA", at positions 29 to 507 of the family's 1533-position model. The record is from RNAcentral.